ACACAGUCACGUGACGGAGCCUUCUUGCUGGCUGGAGCAGCAUGGCUCUGUUGGACGAUGCCUUGUAUUGCAUUGUAGUAAUAGGCGCCCCUGCUUUUGAAGAUGUCCUUGACAGUAUCUCUGUUGUUGAUUUAUCGAUACGUGUGUGAGAAAAAAAAGAGAUAAUUGAAGAAUUGAAGGAGAUAACUGUUGACUUCCAAACUACUGCAUGUCUUGGAUAGUGGGAAUGGUGACCUUUUGCAAUUUCUUGUAGAUGUGAAAGUAUGGUGCAGCCUACUGAAGUCUAACUUUUUGUAGAGGAUGUAUAUAAAUGAUCGCGGUAGGUUAAGAACUUCUGCUGGAGUCCCAUAAUAGAUGUACUGUAGAGCAUCCUGUGACUAACAUAGUUGUACCCUAUUGACAACUAAAAUGUAAACUUCCCUUAUAUAAUG
Pseudophryne corroboree (corroboree frog) is the source of this 431-nucleotide long non-coding RNA. RefSeq lists it as uncharacterized. The transcript is spliced from 3 exons. Lineage: Eukaryota; Metazoa; Chordata; Amphibia; Anura; Myobatrachidae. The record is from RefSeq and is a predicted model, not a curated record.